ACCUCUGCACUGUCAGAAAAUUUCCCUGAGUUCCAAACCUUAGGAAGACUGUCAUUUUACCUCACAAAAGUUAAUGCUAUGAUGUCUUGUGUAUUUUGCAGGAGAGAAGUAAUAACUGCUUCCCGUUUGGACGGAUGGAAUUAUGUAAAACUUCGCAGAAAUACUGAGGCGAAGAAACUCUUGAGCAUACUUUCACCAAUUUUCCCCUCAGGCUGCCUCUGUCCUUAUCCCAUUUAAUAUCAUAUGAUAAAACUUUUCCAUUGCACCACUUCAUAUUCUAAAAUGUUCCCAUAGGUUACCUCCCUCCCUAAUUAAUGCUUUCAUUCCAUAUUUAUUAUCCCUGUUUUCUUUCUCCUGGCAUCAAUGUGAGUACUUUCUCUGCUAGCAUCUUAACUCUAGCCCCUCAAAGCUCUCCACUCCCCUUUCUCUCUUCCUCCCUUCCUCCCACCAGCGCAUCCUUUCCCAGACGUUCUCCUCUCGCCUCUGCCUCCCCCCAGUCCUCCAACCCCCGACUUCCCUGAAGCGUCGUCUUUCUCUUAGUCACCUACCCAAUUCCCUCGCCCACUACCAUUUUCUAUGAAGAUACCCCAUCUCCUACUGAUGUUCCCGCUUAGAAUCUCCUCAAACAUCGUGACCCCAAUUGCCUAUGCCCCAUCUUAUUCACCGCCUUUCCUCUCUCUGGCCCCUCUGCUUCUCACCUCGGAGGCUCUAGCCCCACCUUGUUCCCCCGUAGGUAGGCAGGGAACCAGCGCUCUAGAAGCAGGGGAGUGGGGGAUUCCCCUCCUUUCUACGUCUCCUUCUCCUCUCCGCCCCCCGCCCUUCCUGCGUUGCUGCGCUUCCUGGGCCACUGGGUUUGGACUACUGCAGCAGCUGCUGUUCUGCUGUGUCAUGGAAGGAGGCAGCGGGCAGUGGCUGGAGCACAAGGGGGAGGAGGGGAGGAACCUGAUCUCCGGUACCGAGGGGCUGGAGGCAAACGCCCAGCUCCCACGGAGCCGCCUUAUAGCGGGGCAGGUGGCAGCCCUCCUACCCCGGGUGACACCCACCUCGGGGAUCAUGAAUCUAUGUCUUCUUAGUCCAGAAUCCACUCAAGCACAUUGCCUCCCUAUUAUUAUACAUAGGUAUGUAUAUUUUUAA
Molecule: long non-coding RNA, 1134 nt
Filed under: Phascolarctos cinereus (koala)
Lineage: Eukaryota; Metazoa; Chordata; Mammalia; Diprotodontia; Phascolarctidae
Description: lncRNA (ENSPCIG00000033577.1)
Source: RNAcentral